AAAAAUAGAAUCAGGGCUGAGAAACCCUUGUCCCAGCCUGAUGAGCUGUGGAGGAUGGGCUGAGUUAAGAGUAUUUUGUAGCCUCAAGGGAGAUGCGUUCUUCGCUAAGGGUUUGCAGAAGGUGCAGAAGGUAUUGUUCUCAGCCCACGGUGUGUGUUUUGUCGACCUUGAGUGCGUUUUUCAGCAAGAAGGAAAGGCAUUUUGCCUGAUAAAUGGAAUCAGAGCUCAGUCUCUAGCUCCCAGGCCCCCUAGCGGUUGUCUUUUGCAAUUAAAAAGAUGAAGUGACUUGAAGUCAGCAGCAGGCGCUUUGGGUAAUGAUCGCAGGUGACUAGAGUGUGCCUUUGAGGCUGGCUCCCCCGGACUUCAUCAAAGCUCAGGGGAAAAGCCUUGAAAAUCAGGAGCUCCAGAGGGACAGACACAUUUCCUCACAGAACGUGGGAGAGGAAGGCAGGAACCUUCCAAUGUGGAUGGUGAAGAGCUUGUUCUGUGGCCAAACUUCUGAACCAAUGUCCUAGAAUCCAUGGAUGUGCCUCAUGGGUCUGCCCACCGCUCCUUUAAAAUGACAGACCCCUGGAAGUCUGAAGUUUCAUUAUAACUGGUAAGAUUUUCUUCUACCUUGACCAAGGGAAGCAAGCUUGGGAUUGAAUCCUGAGAAGCCCGACAUUGAGGGAACAGGUAGAUGAAGAGGAAUUGCUUAGGAAGUUAGGAGAAAAGCUGGUUUUCCUGCUGUGGAGACUCAGAGAAAUGACUGUACUAAAAUAGGUAGUGAGCACCUCAUUGUGAACAGUAGCCGUGUUCCUAUUGUGAUCAUUAUGAGUGGCAAUUUUUAAAUGAAGAAUACAUGCUAUCUUAGACAAGCAGGAGAGGCCCGUGGAGUGUCAUCACAGAGGUCUCUCCCAGGAGUCAUUUUCCCCCACCUUUGGAAGAAGGAUCGAAGGUCCCCCCACUGUGUGGAAUGAAGUGCUUAUUUGCAGAAUUAACUCACGAAAGAGUUAAGUUCGGACGAAAUGGUCUGUUUACUGAAGUGUUGCAUUUUCUUCUGAGUGGUGAGGCUCCAAUAUGGCUCUGAAAGCCACUGAGAAGACCUAAUGCAUCUGAGGACCUAGCUUCUGGCCUGGCUCUUACAUGGUCAGGAGCUGUGCGUCCAUCCACCCACCCCCACCCUCUGCCCUCCUGCCCCCUGCCACUCUAGUUUCCCUUGUCCUUUCUGUGGCUCUUCUGGUCUCCUCUUGUUCAGUUCCUAGGUGUACGGAGCCUAUGUCAAUGGCAAUGGUGAGGUAAGUGAGAAGAACUGGAGAAAGUUAAAAAGCGUCUUCAAGGAAAAAACCUGGGAAUAAAAUCUUCCAGUUCUCCUGCUUUACUUUUCCGUAACCUUCCCCACUUCCUUCCUAACAUGCUUCCAGAAGCAGGCGCCUAGUCAUUCAUACCCAUGGAGCUGCUCUUGGCUAAGUAAGCCUAGCUGAGGAGAUGCUGAGGGCAGGUGCGGUGGGAGAUGGAGCAGCACAUUGCUUCCUGGGAGAGAACACCUCCUUGCCUCUGUCACCAGGCCAGAGUGCAGUGGUGUGAUCUCGGCUCAUCGCAACCUCCACCUCCCAGGUUCAAGUGAUUCUCCUGCCUCAGCCUCCCGAGUAGCUGGGACUACAGGC
Cebus imitator (Panamanian white-faced capuchin) is the source of this 1646-nucleotide long non-coding RNA. RefSeq lists it as uncharacterized. The transcript has 3 exons. Lineage: Eukaryota; Metazoa; Chordata; Mammalia; Primates; Cebidae. The record is from RefSeq and is a predicted model, not a curated record.